AUUGAACGCUGGCGGCAUGCCUUACACAUGCAAGUCGAACGGCAGCGCGAGAGCAAUCCUGGCGGCGAGUGGCGAACGGGUGAGUAAUAUAUCGGAACGUGCCCAGUAGUGGGGGAUAGCCCGGCGAAAGCCGGAUUAAUACCGCAUGAGACCUGAGGGUGAAAGCGGGGGAGUCGCAAGACCUCGCGCUAUUGGAGCGGCCGAUAUCAGAUUAGCUAGUUGGUGGGGUAAAGGCCUACCAAGGCAACGAUCUGUAGUUGGUCUGAGAGGACGACCAGCCACACUGGGACUGAGACACGGCCCAGACUCCUACGGGAGGCAGCAGUGGGGAAUUUUGGACAAUGGGCGCAAGCCUGAUCCAGCAAUGCCGCGUGCAGGAA
This 380-nucleotide ribosomal RNA is filed under the name uncultured bacterium. Its description in RNAcentral is "bacterial SSU rRNA". It matches the Rfam family "Bacterial small subunit ribosomal RNA", at positions 29 to 409 of the family's 1533-position model. The record is from RNAcentral.